UCCACCUUGUCGGCGGCAGUUUCCUCUGAGUCCCCGGCCGAACCGCUGGUAACAGAGGAUAAGGGUUGCGCUCGUUGCGGGACUUAACCCAACAUCUCACGACACGAGCUGACGACAGCCAUGCAACACCUGUCUACCUAAGCCCGCUAUUUCUAGCGGACAUGGUUCCUUUCGGUGAUGUCAAGCCCGGGUAAGGUUCUUCGCGUUGCCUCGAAUUAAACCGCAUACUCCACCGCUUGUGCGGGCCCCCGUCAAUUCCUUUGAGUUUCAACCUUGCGGUCGUACUCCCCAGGUGAGGCGCUUAAUGCGUUAGCUACGGCACGGAGGGGGUCGAUACCCCCCACACCUAGCGCCCAACGUUUACAGCCAGGACUAC
This 376-nucleotide unclassified non-coding RNA is filed under the name uncultured bacterium. RNAcentral describes it as "contains 16S-23S intergenic spacer region". The record is from RNAcentral.